This 253-nucleotide ribosomal RNA is filed under the name uncultured bacterium. RNAcentral describes it as "partial 16S ribosomal RNA". It matches the Rfam family "Bacterial small subunit ribosomal RNA", at positions 524 to 776 of the family's 1533-position model. The record is from RNAcentral.
UACGUAGGUGGCAAGCGUUGUCCGGAUUUAUUGGGUUUAAAGGGUGCGUAGGCGGUCGUAUAAGUCAGUGCUGAAAUAUCCCGGCUUAACCGGGAGGGUGGCAUUGAUACUGCAUGACUUGAGUAAAGUUGAGGUUGGCGGAAUUGACGGUGUAGCGGUGAAAUGCUUAGAUAUCGUCAAGAACACCUAUUGCGAAGGCAGCUAACUAAGCUUUAACUGUCGCUGAGGCACGAAAGUGUGGGGAUCAAACAGG